AUUAGUGAACCUGUUAGUGUUAAGAGAUGUGGGAGGAUGUGGAGGCAAACCUGGUGAAGGAAGAAAUGAGACGGAGAACGAGGCACCCCAAGCUCCUACGACCCCUUAAAGAGUCCUGUUCCAGUGUCCACAGUGUAUGAUCUGACUUGCUCCGGGCGUACUGUGAGACAACACAAAGAACCUGAGGCCAGAGCAGUGGCUGCUUUGCUUGUCUUCAUGGAAAUCUCCCUGGGGGAUCGGGGGAUCGGACUCUCUCCUGCAGGCUCAUGGUCAGGUAUUUUACUACAGCGACAACAGAAGUAACUGUAACCGGGACAGUUCGUGACCCUCCCCGACCUGUCCAGGGCUGAGAUCCCAGGAACAGAAGGGCCUUGCUAAUUUGAGUAUGGGCAAAAGGUGACUGAGA
This 406-nucleotide long non-coding RNA is filed under the name Mus spicilegus (steppe mouse). Its description in RNAcentral is "lncRNA (ENSMSIG00000010225.1)". Lineage: Eukaryota; Metazoa; Chordata; Mammalia; Rodentia; Muridae. The record is from RNAcentral.